UGGGGGAUAUUGCACAAUGGGCGAAAGCCUGAUGCAGCGACGCCGCGUGGGGGAUGAAGGCUUUCGGGUUGUAACCUCUUUCGCUAUCGAACAAGGCCCGCUUAGGGUGGGUUGAGGGUAGGUGGAGAAGAAGCGCCGGCUAACUACGUGCCAGCAGCCGCGGUAAUACGUAGGGCGCGAGCGUUGUCCGGAAUUAUUGGGCGUAAAGGGCUUAUAGGCGGCUUGUUGCGCCUGCUGUGAAAACGCGGGGCUUAACUUCGCGCGUGCAGUGGGUACGGGCAGGCUUGAGUGUGGUAGGGGUGACUGGAAUUCCAGGUGUAGCGGUGGAAUGCGCAGAUAUCUGGAGGAACACCGAUGGCGAAGGCAGGUCACUGGGCCAUUACUGACGCUGAGGAGCGAAAGCAUGGGUAGCGAACAGG
RNAcentral lists this ribosomal RNA (419 nucleotides) under bacterium. RNAcentral describes it as "partial 16S ribosomal RNA". It matches the Rfam family "Bacterial small subunit ribosomal RNA", at positions 355 to 776 of the family's 1533-position model. The record is from RNAcentral.